AUGCCCAAGAGGAAGGUCAGCUCCGCCGAAGGCGCCGCCAAGGAAGAGUCCAAGAGGAGAUCGGCGCGGUUGUCAGCUAAACCUCCUGCAAAAGUGGAAGCGAAGCCGAAAAAGGCAGCAGCGAAGGAUAAAUCUUCAGACAAAAAAGCGCAAACAAAAGGGAAAAGGGGAGCAAAGGGAAAACAGGCCGAAGUGGCUAACCAAGAAACUAAAGAAGAUUUACCUGCAGAAAACGGGGAAACGAAAACUGAGGAGAGUCCAGCCUCUGAUGAAGCAGGAGAGAAAGAAGCCAAGUCUGAUUAA
RNAcentral lists this long non-coding RNA (303 nucleotides) under Homo sapiens (human). Its description in RNAcentral is "non-protein coding lnc-CHD2-13:2". The record is from RNAcentral. Lineage: Eukaryota; Metazoa; Chordata; Mammalia; Primates; Hominidae.